Molecule: ribosomal RNA, 1194 nt
Filed under: bacterium JNSXRA6
Lineage: Bacteria
Description: bacterial SSU rRNA
Rfam family: Bacterial small subunit ribosomal RNA
Source: RNAcentral
AACGUUCGAUAUGCAGUUGAGCGCUGAGGUUGGUACUUGUACCAACUGGAUGAGCAGCGAACGGGUGAGUAACGCGUGGGGAAUCUGCCUUUGAGCGGGGGACAACAUUUGGAAACGAAUGCUAAUACCGCAUAAAAACUUUAAACACAAGUUUUAAGUUUGAAAGAUGCAAUUGCAUCACUCAAAGAUGAUCCCGCGGUAGUUGUAUUAGCUAGUUGGUGAGGUAAAGGCUCACCAAGGCGAUGAUACAUAGCCGACCUGAGAGGGUGAUCGGCCACAUUGGGACUGAGACACGGCCCAAACUCCUACGGGAGGCAGCAGUAGGGAAUCUUCGGCAAUGGACGAAAGUCUGACCGAGCAACGCCGCGUGAGUGAAGAAGGUUUUCGGAUCGUAAAACUCUGUUGGUAGAGAAGAACGUUGGUGAGAGUGGAAAGCAUCUCAUCAAGUGACGGUAACUACCCAGAAAGGGACGGCUAACUACGUGCCAGCAGCCGCGGUAAUACGUAGGUCCCGAGCGUUGUACCCGGAUUUAUCUUGGGCGUAAAGCAAGAGCGCAGGUGGUUUAUUAAGUCUGGUGUAAAAGGCAGUGGCUCAACCAUUGUAUGCAUUGGAAACUGGUAGACUUGAGUGCAGGAGAGGAGAGUGGAAUUCCAUGUGUAGCGGUGAAAUGCGUAGAUAUAUGCGUGAGGAACACCGGUGGCGAAAGCGGCUCUCUGGCCUGUAACUGACACUGAGGCUCGAAAGCGUGGGGAGCAAACAGGAUUAGAUACCCUGGUAGUCCACGCCGUAAACGAUGAGUGCUAGAUGUAGGGAGCUAUAAGUUCUCUGUAUCGCAGCUAACGCAAUAAGCACUCCGCCUGGGGAGUACGACCGCAAGGUUGAAACUCAAAGGAAUUGACGGGGGCCCGCACAAGCGGUGGAGCAUGUGGUUUAAUUCGAAGCAACGCGAAGAACCUUACCAGGUCUUGACAUACUCGUGCUAUUCCUAGAAGAUAGGAAGUUCCUUCGGGACACGGGAUACAGGUGGUGCAUGGUUGUCGUCAGCUCGUGUCGUGAGAUGGUUGGGGUUAAGUCCCGCAACGAGCGCAACCCCUAUUGUUAGUUGCCAUCAUUAAGUUGGGCACUCUAACGAGACUGCCGGUGAUAAACCGGAGGAAAGGUGGGGAUGACGUCAAAUCAUCAUUUGCAUGAGC